This 498-nucleotide ribosomal RNA is filed under the name uncultured bacterium. RNAcentral's name for it is "partial 16S ribosomal RNA". It matches the Rfam family "Bacterial small subunit ribosomal RNA", at positions 27 to 507 of the family's 1533-position model. The record is from RNAcentral.
GGAUGAACGCUGGCGGCGUGCCUAAUACAUGCAAGUAGAACGCUGAAGGAAGGAGCUUGCUCUUUCCGGAUGAGUUGCGAACGGGUGAGUAACGCGUAGGUAACCUGCCUGGUAGCGGGGGAUAACUAUUGGAAACGAUAGCUAAUACCGCAUAACAGUAGAUGUUGCAUGACAACUAUUUGAAAGGGGCAAUUGCUCCACUACCAGAUGGACCUGCGUUGUAUUAGCUAGUUGGUGAGGUAACGGCUCACCAAGGCGACGAUACAUAGCCGACCUGAGAGGGUGAUCGGCCACACUGGGACUGAGACACGGCCCAGACUCCUACGGGAGGCAGCAGUAGGGAAUCUUCGGCAAUGGACGGAAGUCUGACCGAGCAACGCCGCGUGAGUGAAGAAGGUUUUCGGAUCGUAAAGCUCUGUUGUAAGAGAAGAACGAGUGUGAGAGUGGAAAGUUCACACUGUGACGGUAUCUUACCAGAAAGGGACGGCUAACUACGUG